GACGAACGCUGGCGGCGCGCCUAACACAUGCAAGUCGAACGGAGCUGAGAGUAGCUUGCUUUUCUUAGCUUAGUGGCGAACGGGUGAGUAACGCGUGAGUAACCUGCUCUGGAGUGGGGGACAACAGUUGGAAACGACUGCUAAUACCGCAUAAGCCCACGAUCCGGCAUCGGAUUGAGGGAAAAGGAUUUGUUCGCUUCAGGAUGGACUCGCGUCCAAUUAGCUAGUUGGUGAGGUAACGGCCCACCAAGGCGACGAUUGGUAGCCGGACGGAGAGGUUGAACGGCCACAUUGGGACUGAGACACGGCCCAGACUCCUACGGGAGGCAGCAGUGGGGGAUAUUGCACAAUGGGGGAAACCCUGAUGCAGCGACGCCGCGUGGAGGAAGAAGGUUGUCGGAUUGUAAACUCCUGUCGUUAGGGACGAUAAUGACGGUACCUAACAAGAAAGCACCGGCUAACUACGUG
This 468-nucleotide ribosomal RNA is filed under the name uncultured bacterium. Its description in RNAcentral is "partial 16S ribosomal RNA". It matches the Rfam family "Bacterial small subunit ribosomal RNA", at positions 28 to 507 of the family's 1533-position model. The record is from RNAcentral.